This 406-nucleotide ribosomal RNA is filed under the name uncultured bacterium. Its description in RNAcentral is "partial 16S ribosomal RNA". It matches the Rfam family "Bacterial small subunit ribosomal RNA", at positions 30 to 526 of the family's 1533-position model. The record is from RNAcentral.
AUUGAACGCUGGCGGCAGGCCUAACACAUGCAAGUCGAACGAGUGGCGGACGGGUGAGUAAUGUCUGGGAAACUGCCUGAUGGAGGGGGAUACCUACUGGAAACGGGAGCUAAUACCGCAUACCAUCGGAUGUGCCCAGAUGGGAUGAGCGAGUAGGUGGGGUAAAGGCUCACCUAGGCGACGAUCCCUAGCGGUUCUGCGAGGAUGACCAGCCUCACUGUAACUGAGACACGGUCCAGACUCCUACGGUAGGCAGCAGUGGGGAAUAUUGCACAAUGGGCGCAAGCCUGAUGCAGUCAUGCCGCGUGUAUGAAGAAGGCCUUCGGGUUGUAAAGUACUUGCAGCGGGGAGGCGUUACCCGCAGAAGAAGCACCGGCUAACUCCGUGCCAGCCGCCGCGGUAAUUC